This 67-nucleotide transfer RNA is filed under the name Marmota monax (woodchuck). RNAcentral describes it as "tRNA.Ala". It matches the Rfam family "tRNA", at positions 6 to 65 of the family's 71-position model. Rfam says of the family: Transfer RNA (tRNA) molecules are approximately 80 nucleotides in length. Their secondary structure includes four short double-helical elements and three loops (D, anti-codon, and T loops). Further hydrogen bonds mediate the characteristic L-shaped molecular structure. tRNAs have two regions of fundamental functional importance: the anti-codon, which is responsible for specific mRNA codon recognition, and the 3' end, to which the tRNAs corresponding amino acid is attached (by aminoacyl-tRNA synthetases). tRNAs cope with the degeneracy of the genetic code in two manners: having more than one tRNA (with a specific anti-codon) for a particular amino acid; and 'wobble' base-pairing, i.e. permitting non-standard base-pairing at the 3rd anti-codon position. The record is from RNAcentral. Lineage: Eukaryota; Metazoa; Chordata; Mammalia; Rodentia; Sciuridae.
GGAUGUGGCUCAGUGGUAGAGCACUUGCCUUGCAUGCCUGAGGUUCUAGGUUUGAUCCCCAGCACCA